Non-coding RNA from Chlorocebus sabaeus (green monkey), 3801 nucleotides. The record is from RefSeq and is a predicted model, not a curated record. NCBI's taxonomy places the organism in Eukaryota, Metazoa, Chordata, Mammalia, Primates, Cercopithecidae.
CUGUGUAUGUUUUUGUUUGUUUGUUUGUUUGUUUUUUAAAGAUAAUGUCUAUUAUUUGAAAAAUGUAUUUUAUUUGAAAACACUUGAGUUUGUCUAAUUAUGGAUUAAAUCCUAAUAUGUGACUUCGUUGAGAAAAUUACUAACAUUGGCAUUCCAGUUUAUCUCACAUACUGAAAUCUCCUUUUUAUUUACCAGAACAGAUUCCAUCUCUGUCUUUUAACUGAGGUGAAAACAUAAGACCUUUUUUUUGCCUUUUCCAGAAUCUGUCAACACUUACUGAGUUGGACAGAAGGUUUAAGCACAGUGAGGCUUCAUCUUCGUGUUCCUGAGGGACCAGAAUCCUCUGGUUACAAAACCCUCAGAGCUAAAUUCUUAGUGGGGACACAUGUACAGUAUCAGUGUACAUUCAGGGUUGGUGUUUCUUGGGCUAUCUGAGUAACUAUGAACAUUACAAAAAGAAAUGAAAAACAACCAAAAUCUCUUAUCCUAAACACUGUAAUUGGUUUCUCCAAUUUCUGCUUCCUACAUCUGAAUGAACUUGUAAGAAGAAAAUGCUUCCUCUGUAGGUGGCCUGGUCAGGUUGGCCUGAUACCUGGAGUGAAAAGAAUGGAACAGAGUAAAGAGCACAAAUCUGGGACCCUGGAAAACUGCCCUCUAGUCCUGGUUUUGCUGUUUAAUGAUUGUUAUAACUAAACAAGGCAGUUUGCAGAUCUGGCUUUAGUUUUUCUACCUGUACACUCGGGGGUGUAGAUGAUCUCCAGAAUUACAGAAUCACAGGGUUGGAAGUAGCUUUGUGCAACCCUCCUAAAGAGCAUGGACAUGAUCUUUGAAGCAGCCUUGACAGGUUGCCAUUCCAUCUCCAUUUGUCUGUGUUCAGCCUUUGCUUGGCUUCUACUCUAGAGAUGGGGAACUGUUGGUUUUCAAGGUAGUUUGGAGCCACUUAGUAUUAGGUAGCUUUUCAUAGUGUAUGCAUUCCUUGCCCUCCUGUAGUCCUAAUUUUAUGUUUUUCAUCUUUUAUGUGACAAAUCUUUAGAUAUUGAACAAGAAUUAUGUCAGUUCUCUUUCCAGUUAUACUGCAAAAGCUCUGUCUGCCCUCCCUCCCUCUUUGAUGUGAUUUCAGACCCUUCACAAUUAUGCUAGCUUUCCUGAAAUGUUCCAGUUUUUCAUUGCCACUUUAAAAAUGUGAUUCUCAGAAAAGCAUAUAAUACUUCCGAUAGGAUGUGAGCAGCACAGGGCAUGCUAAGAACGUUUAAAAACUGUAAUUUCAUGAGUACAGCCCAAGUUGAUUUUUUGUUGUUAUUGGUGUCUUUUAUAGACAGCAUCUGUCUGUGACAUCCUUGAUGUUUUAUUUCACAUGGAUUGAUUGCUCAUAAGCAAGGCUUCAUGUUAUAGAUGGGCAGCUUAUUUCUUUGGCCCUUGGCAGUACUUUAUAUUUUUUCUUCCUUUUGUGAGUUAUUUUAUAUCUGCUCCUUGUUCUGCCUGCUGAAUUGUUCUGAACCUUUCAUCUGCUCUAGGAAUUAGUGAUCCUGUCAGGCUGUUGUCUCCUUAUUAUCCUCACUGAUCAUACAUUUGAGUCCAUCCCAAGUGAUUGAUGAAAACGUUGACCAGGGCAAAGUCAAGUAGAGGCUCUUGUGGUAAACUGCUGGGGUCUUUCUACUGUCUACAUUUGACUGGUGGGGAACCCUGACAGUGUUUCCAGGCUCCUAUUGACAAUGUGUUGUUAUUCUUGGUUAGAUGUAAUUUAGAUGGAAUUUGUCUUGCUCUGAAGUCUUGAACUCAGUUUGUUUUCUCAUUAAUUUAUCGUCUUCUAUUUUGAAAAUUCUGUAUUUGUUUUUAUGUUUAUACACAUUUGGAUUUAGUGGUGUUAGCUAUUCCCCCCCCCCCCCCCGACGAUUAUUAUGUUCUAGUUAGUUUUUGCUUUAGUGGUCUUUAUUAAUACUGCCACCAACCCCACCCAUCUUUUCUUUUCUUUUCUUUUUUUUUAACGUUCACAAUCUCCCCAUGAUUUCCUGACCUAGAGUGCCUAGUACUGAGUGGUAAAUGGGGGUUGGGGUGGUCUUGCUGGUGGAGUAACAGAAGGAAGAAAUUUCUUAAAUUAAGAAGGUUUCCAGUCUUUCUUCCAGAGGUACCGCUAAAAAUACAUGCCAAAGUUUUUCAAAAGACUGUAACUUUAGACAUUUUAAAAUAUUCUGUUGGAGAUAAAGUUUAAAAAGCAAUUAAUAAAGAGAAACAUACUGAAGUGUUACUCCAGAUAUCCUGAUGGAUAUUGUAUGUUGAAAAGUUACAUUUUAGAAAAUAAAGGGUAUAUAGUUACCCUUUAUUAUGAGGUUUCAUAAAAUAUCUCAUAAUUAUGAGGUAUAUGAAAUAGGUUAAAAAAAUUUGAAUGACAUUUACCUGACAAAUGGCUAGUAAAAAGCAUACUGUAUAAGAAUGUAAUGGGAUAAUGGUGCAUCAGAAAUACUACAUAAAUUAUCUAUCUAAAGAGAGGUGUCAGGGUUUUACAUGGAGAUAGUUUAUAGGGUAGGCCACAUCUGUAUUAUUGUGUUUUGCAACUUGUUCUUUGUAAUAUACUUAGCUGCAUCAAACUAUAUGACCUUUUCUUAAUUUGAUGUACUACAAAAGAAACUUUAGCAUAAAUGUUUUCAAAAUAAUAUCACUGCCCAAAUGUCACAUUAAGCCAAGCAUUUUAUGAAUCAGCAAGACCAGUCUCCUCUUCCUGCUGUCAUUUCUUUUGUCCUUCCCCUUUUCUUCCUUCUGCCAAGUACUUGCAUAUUUGUGUGCUUAUGUUAGCAGCAUCCACACUGAUACCUGUUCUCUUUUUUUUCACCCUAGCUCCAGGGGUAAAAGGAGAGACUAAAAAAAAAAAAUAUUCUGCAAGUCUUAAAUAUGGGACAAAAUUCAAGGAAUUAUUUCUUAUCUUGUCACCUUUAAAAUAUCAUUAAUGGAACAUGUACAUCCUGAGUUUGUGGUAACAGUUAGUAGAUAUUUCUGUGUUUGGGAUGGAUGCCCUUUAGUGUAAAGUAUCAAGCAGCAAAUAGAGCACACACUCUGUAGAAUUAAAGAACCUUAGAAAAGAUGACUAUAAAAAUUUUAAGUACAUUUAGGGGAAGGAAUGAUUCAAUGGAGAGAAUGAAUUUGAAGAAAUGCUUGAAGUUCUAAUGUGGCUUUUAGUUACAAUAGAUCUUUUAAAACUACAAUGGAAUUUUGCCGUUAUGUCACUCAUUAUAGUUGGAAUUCUACUUUAACUAGAUUGUCUUCUGAUUUAUAUGAAACUUUAAUUGCUUGAAGUAUAGACUUAAGUUAAAACUUCUGUAGCAUGGAUUCCAGAGAUUCUAGUUGUUUUUUUUUUUCCCCCAGGAAGAAAAACAGGAAAUACUAUGUCCAGAAACUAAUGAAAUGAAGGUGUUUUUAAUGAUGAAUUUUCUUCAGACAAUAAGAUACUGUAUGGUUUCUAGAUUACAGUGCGUUAGGGCUAAAUGUGGAAACUGGAACUCCAAUAUAAGGUUUUGCACCUUAAAGGUAAUAUGGGGGUAAAUGCAUAUAUCUAACUCUGGAUCUCAUGGUAAAAUUAAGAGAGUAAUUGUGCAUUGCACCAGGAAUAAUGUGCUACUCACAAAUGGAUGUCACUUGCCAAGUUUACACAUCUGAUUUAGAAGAAACAAAGAUUUCAGACUUAAUUGAGGAUGCACGUCUUUGAUUGCUUACUUGAGGUAACUCUAGUCCUUUAAGACUAUCUUCAAACCAUCAGCAGGAUUUAUUUUAAAAAUCCUCCAAUUGAGGCAGCCAUUUAAAAUUGAGUAA